CAGCAGCCGCGGUAAUACGGAGGGAGCUAGCGUUGUUCGGAAUUACUGGGCGUAAAGCGCACGUAGGCGGCUUUGUAAGUUAGAGGUGAAAGCCUGGAGCUCAACUCCAGAACUGCCUUUAAGACUGCAUCGCUUGAAUCCAGGAGAGGUGAGUGGAAUUCCGAGUGUAGAGGUGAAAUUCGUAGAUAUUCGGAAGAACACCAGUGGCGAAGGCGGCUCACUGGACUGGUAUUGACGCUGAGGAGCGAAAGCGUGGGGAGCGAACAGGAUUAGAUACCCCUGUAGUCCCUGUCUCUUAUAU
This 301-nucleotide ribosomal RNA is filed under the name uncultured bacterium. RNAcentral's name for it is "partial 16S ribosomal RNA". It matches the Rfam family "Bacterial small subunit ribosomal RNA", at positions 509 to 809 of the family's 1533-position model. The record is from RNAcentral.